GAUGAACGCUGGCGGCGUGCCUAAUACAUGCAAGUCGAGCGAACAGAUAAGGAGCUUGCUCCUUUGACGUUAGCGGCGGACGGGUGAGUAACACGUGGAUAACCUACCUAUAAGACUGGGAUAACUUCGGGAAACCGGAGCUAAUACCGGAUAACAUAUUGAACCGCAUGGUUCAAUAGUGAAAGGCGGCUUUGCUGUCACUUAUAGAUGGAUCCGCGCCGUAUUAGCUAGUUGGUAAGGUAACGGCUCACCAAGGCAACGAUACGUAGCCGACCUGAGAGGGUGAUCGGCCACACUGGAACUGAGACACGGUCCAGACUCCUACGGGAGGCAGCAGUAGGGAAUCUUCCGCAAUGGGCGAAAGCCUGACGGAGCAACGCCGCGUGAGUGAUGAAGGUCUUCGGAUCGUAAAACUCUGUUAUCAGGGAAGAACAAAUGUGUAAGUAACUGUGCACAUCUUGACGGUACCUGAUCAGAAAGCCACGGCUAACUACGUG
Molecule: ribosomal RNA, 497 nt
Filed under: uncultured bacterium
Lineage: Bacteria
Description: partial 16S ribosomal RNA
Rfam family: Bacterial small subunit ribosomal RNA
Source: RNAcentral